RNAcentral lists this long non-coding RNA (1064 nucleotides) under Mus spicilegus (steppe mouse). Its description in RNAcentral is "lncRNA (ENSMSIG00000026604.1)". Lineage: Eukaryota; Metazoa; Chordata; Mammalia; Rodentia; Muridae. The record is from RNAcentral.
CUCAGCUACAGGCUUCAGUGGCAAUGUAUGAGGCCCACGUUGUCUCUCAUGGCCUGCACAGUUUGCAGGAAACCUGGUUGGGCCUCUUACUACUGAUACUGACCUUACUCAGCUGCAGAGGUGUUCUCCCCGGCCUCUAUAUUGGCAAAUUCCGCUUUGCCCAUUUUCAUCACCAGGCUCAGCCCAUGCUGGGAGAGUGGAGUGAGUGCAGCCUCCCUCUGUACGAUGAAGCUCAACACCAAGUGUGCAGCGUUUCUCUCUGUGGAAGAUCUAUGCUCCUGUAGGCUGCUCACAAGAUGCUCCUGACUUGAUGUGUCCUUUCCUGGCAUGGCCUGGAGUCCUCCAUUUGUCCUGGUCUCUGGCACUUCUCACUGCAAGCUUUGACUCCAGGUAUCUCUGUUGCCUCGAGGCCUCUCCUCUGGAACUCCAGAGCCAUUCCUACUGCCUGGUUCAAGUUCCUGCCAGGCCACUCCGACCUCUGGAAAGGGUCUUGCUCUUCCUACGUUGUGUGUUACAUCUGGAGCCAGCACGGAAGCAGAACCCUUGUAGGCUGCUGGGCGAGUGGAUGUCAGUGGUGCUGUAAAGUCAACCAAAGGCUAGCCCUGGCACAUCCUUCUCUAAACUGUCGCUCCCUCCUCGCCACACCAUGAGACCAGAGCUCUGCAACUGGCCCUUCUGGUCUCUCGUGCAGUCCCUUUGCUGAGAGGCUAAGGUGAUUUCUCAGCACAGGCCACACUCUCAGGAGCAGCUCUCAGGAGCGGCUCAGCCUCCUCUUACUUCUGGCUGAGUUGAUGUAUUUAUGAGAACCUGGCCUCUGGUCUCAAGCAGGGAGCAUUGUGAAAUCACAGUCCCCGAGCCUCCCUGGUUGAGGCUGAGAGUGGAUAUAACCAGCCGACUCUGCUUGGCCUUUCCCUCCGAUUGUACCCUGCUUCUGCUUGAGGGGUUUCUCUUCAUAGCAGCCCGCGGGGCACACUCACUUGGCCCAGCAACUUUCCUCAAAGCUGUUCCUCGAAUUCAUCAGUGUCUUAGGCUAUUGCUGCAAUAAAACACCAUGGGGGAAAGCA